RNAcentral lists this long non-coding RNA (9039 nucleotides) under Capsicum annuum. Its description in RNAcentral is "long non-coding RNA (CANN_LNC006267)". Lineage: Eukaryota; Viridiplantae; Streptophyta; Magnoliopsida; Solanales; Solanaceae. The record is from RNAcentral.
UCAAGCUUGAUUGCUUCAGCUUUCACCUAUAUAAAAACAAAAAUGAAACUUUUGUUACAAAAAAUAACCAAAACUUGUUAUAAUUUUUUUUUAGAAGUAUCAUAAAAAAUAUUAUACAUUGCCACAAAAGCUUUGUAUCCUAAAGUGUCCUCUCAUCUUUCGCUUCUUUAAAAUUUUAAAGAUCCUUCAACUUUUCUUCAUUCAAUGAACUGACAACUUUUUGUAUUUAAAUAAGUUAUCAAUUUUUGAAUUAACAAGAAAAAAAAAUAAGUAAAACUGACUGUAUUUAAAAGUGAUAAUUAUGAUUAGCCAUGUUUACAUAUAUUUACUUUUUACAUUAAAAAGGUAUUACUUACCAAAAAUAUAUAUUUACUUUCCGUAAACAAUGACUAUAAAACAUUUAGUACAUAUAAGCCGUAAAUAUUAGUGUCAUAAUUAAAUAUUUAUUUUAAAUGCUUGAAAUGUGUUCUACAUAUACAUCUCGAGUCAAUCAAUAAAAGAAUAUAAAAAAAUAAAAUUAUUAAAAAAUAUCAAUUAAAUUUAAAUAAAUAAAUUCGUGGAAAGACUUUAACUUUGACUUAUAUAUAAAGAAAAACAAGAAAAAAAAUAGAUAGUAGAAAGGAAGUAUAUCCCAAUUUUGAAUGGAAAACAUGCUUGUAAGUCGCAAAAUAUCAUUUAUUAGAGAAAGUUAUUUUAAUUGACAAUAGAAACUAAAAUCACCUCUGAAAAGAGCAUUUGAUCAUAUUUUGUAUGUGUGAUACCAAUUGGAGCCUAUAUUCAAAAAAAAAAAAAACCAUCAAAGUAUAUCAAUAACAUAAUGAUGAUAUGCUAAAUCUCAUGAUUUAUUUAUAAUUAAAAUAAUUUCAUAUAAGCAAAAAUUUUAAAGGAACUUUAUAUAAUGAAGAAGGCUAGAAAAACUUAAAGAAUCCAAGAAGAAAACUUUAAUUAAUCAUCAAUCAAAAUCAAAUCAAAACAAAACUAAGAAUAAGAAGAAAAUAUAGAAGUAAAAGAUAUUUUUCUAGUAAAUUUGAUCAAAUAACUACUUAAAUAGAAUUGUAGACAUUCUUUUUCUAUAUAAGCUAAAAUUCUUUUUGAUUUAGAAGUGUUAAAUAUUAUGAAUUCUUACGUGAAUUCGUUGCUUCAAUUGUAGACAUUAAUUGCUUCUUCCAUUUUUUUUAACGGAAGGAAAGUUUCUCUCUCGGCGCAUGUUACCAUAACGUGCGCACUUCAUAGGACGGCGAGCGAAAACUUCGAAUCCAGCAACAAUUGUAGGGGGUAAUAGAAAAGGGAAGCUCACAGCAAAGGUUAGUGAUGUUAAAGAAAGUGGGAAAACCCAAUUGAAGCCGAGUAGAAGUACAACAGUAGCGGAGUGUUAGCGGAGUGUGACGGCCAACAAUGGCUGCCGCUAGGAAGGAUGGAAACGAAUUUGAUAAAGGGGAGAAGCAACGAAGCAUCAACAAGCUCAGAAAAUGCGAGCUCCAGCCCAGGCACCAAGGGUCUUGUAACGGAACAAAACAGAAAGGAACAGGUGGUGAGAAGAAGCAAUCGAAGGCUCAACUUGAAAAGGGAAAUAUGCAGGAAUGGCUAAGUAUCACCUCACCAGCUCAAUCAUAGGCUGAUGAGGUAGAAAAUAAAGUAAGCAAUUCUAGGGCUGGAACUGGAAGAAAAAUAACUGCACCUAGAGCUUCUAUAUGGGAUAAAUUUGAUAUAAAAAAGCUGAAUGACGCGGGGUACAAGCUCGAUUAUGUAAAAUCAAUUAGGACAGGGGAGAUGGAAUUGGUUGAAAUCGAAAAAGACGACACAAGUUUAGAGAUAGAGUACUAGAAAAACACAAUUGUGUGCUAUGUACUGGGUGCCUCUCCCCUGUUCAAUGUUCUGAAUAAAUUUGUUCAGAGAAAGUGGGGAAAACUUGGAAUUAAUAAGGUGGCCAUGAUGAAGAACGGGAUUUUACUGGUAAUAUUUACUUCUGAGGAAGGUAAAGAUGAGGUGCUGCAAGGUGGGAUUUAUCAUUUCGAUAAUAAACCACUAAUAGUGAAGGAAUGGGUGCCUAAAUGGAUUUUUCGAAAGAGGAAUUGUAUUCUAUUCCUAUAUGGGUGAAACUACCAGGCCUGGAGUUCAAAUAUUAGAGUGCAAAGAGCUUGAGAAAGAUAGGCAGUUUAAUAGGGAAGCCGUUAAUGGUAGAUCAGAAUACGGAGCAGAAGAUUGGCCGUAGCUUUGCAAAAUUGUUCAUUGAAGUCUAAAUUGGAAGACCUCUGCCAGAGGUAAUACAAUUCAUAAAUGAGAAAGGGGAAAUUAUAGAACAACAAGUGAGUUACGACUGGAAGCCUAGUCUAUAUGAUGUAUACCAUUAAUAUGGGCAUGUUGCUUCUGAGUGCAGGAAAAAUAAAUCCAAGGAACCAAAUGGGAUUGCUAUAGAUGUGCAGGAGAAUGAAUGAUCUCAGAAUACUAAAGCUCAAAAGGGAAAGCAAAUCACUCUCAACAACAAGGUUGAGCACAGAGUAACCACAGGGAAACCAUAGAUUGAACGGAAGGCACAAAAUAUUCCUGUUUCUAAUAGUUUUCAGCAACUAGGAGAAGACACUAUGUUGUAGGAGACACAAACCACUAAAGCUGGUGAAGGGGGGAAGAUUUCUUCCUUAAGGGGUAAUGGUUAAAAUAUUAUGUUGGAACACUAGAGGCCUAAAUGGCCUCAACAAGCAGAAGGAGGUGAAACUCCUCUGCAGUAAGUUAGGAGCAGGUUUGAUAUGUUUUCUGGAAACUAGAAUAAAGGUUGCUAAGCUAAGUGAUACAACUUAUAGGAUUUUUAGUGGUUGGUUGAACUAUAGUAACCAUGGAGCUCACUAUAAUGGUCUAGUGCGGAUCGUUUGGCGAUAGGAUUGGUACAUAAUUGAAGUAAAAUCUGAAAGUACACAAGCCAUCACAUGUGCAGUCAUGUAUAUCCCGCUUCAACUGAAAUUUGAGGUUACAUUCGUUUAUGCUUUUAACUUGAAAGAAAAUAGAAUUGAGUUGUGGAACUACUUGAGGAGAAUACAACCAAUGUGCACUAAAGCAUGGAUGGUUCUAGGAGAUUUUAAUGUUGUAUUACGCAAAGAGGACAGACUAGAGGGAAAUACAAUAACACUUGCAGAAGUGACUGAAUUUCAAAGUUGUAUUGACGAUUGUCUUCUUGAAGAAAUGCCUGGAAAUAAAGGUAGAUAUAUUUGGAGUGACAGGCAGCAAAACAAUAGGAUUUUCUCAAAAUUGAUUGGGUAUUUGUAAAUGAAGAAUGGAUAGAUAACAUGUCUGAGAUUCAAAGUUACUCACUGCCUGAGGGAGUAAGCGAUCAUUGCCCUAUCUUAAUUAAAAUACAACAAGUGGAGAAGAGGAAAAAACUAUUUUUUUAAUAUUGUAACAUCUGGAGCUCCCACCAAUCAUUCGAAGAAGUAGUCAGAAAAGUAUGAAAGGUUCCUGUCACAGGUUGUAAUAUGUUCAAAGUGGUAUCAAAACUGAAGAAACUAAAAGAAAAAUUAAGUAUGCUCCAUCGGAAUCAAUUUGCAAACUUGGAGGACCAAGUUAAUACUGACAGAGAAGCCCUUAAGCAAAUAGAAAUCCAACUCCAGAAGACACCUCAGGAUAAACAAGUACAACAGGAAGAGCGAAGCCUUAGGCAGAAAUUUCAGAGAUCAUUUUUCUUGAUUGAGUCAGUAUUGAUACAGAGAAGUAAGGCCACAUGGUUGAGGUUGGUAGAUGAUAACACCAGCUACUUCUUUUCAGUGUUAAAGAGAAAGAAAUUACAACAAUCUAUCACAUAACUCAGAGAUUAAUCUGGUAACCUACAACAUGACCAGGUUAGCAUCGCAGAUAUCUUUGUAAAAUUCUAUCAAAACUUGUUAGGUGACUUUGGUAAAGAAAGACUAAAAUCGAGUAAGAGAGUGUAUACUCAGGGACAUACCCUUACAGAAGAACAACGAAUACAACUUUUAGAGCCUGUCACAGAUGAUGAGAUUAAAAAAAUAAUAUGGAGCAUAAACAUCAAUAGAAGCCUGGGACCUGACAGAUAUGGGAGUGGAUUUUUUAGAGCUGCGUGGCAUAUUGUGGAACCUGAAGUAUGUGAUGCUAUUAAAGAUUUCUUUAAGAAUGGCAAAUUGUUGAAACAGCUGAACACUACAGUGAUUUCUAUUAUUCCUAAGAUUGAGAAGUCUGAAUAUGCUAGCCAAUUCAGACUAAUCUAUUGAUGCAAUACAAUAUAUAAGUGUAUUUCUAAACUAUUAUGUAAGAGGCUGAAGAAGGUGCUGACCAGUCUAGUUAAUCCCACUCAAGCUGCUUUUAUUCAAGGGAGAUCACUAAUACAAAAUGUAUUGAUCAGUCAUGACCUAAUGAGACACUAUAACAGAAAAAUGACUCCAAGAUGUUUGAUGAAAAUCGAUCUUAAAAAAGCAUACGACAUGGUACAAUGGGGCUUUGUUGAUGAGAUAUUGCAGGGCUGUCGCUUCUCUCCCAAAUUUGUACAACUGAUCAUGGUGUGCGGGACCACAACCAGGUACAGAAUUAAAGUAAAUGGUGAAAGAUGUGGUUUCUUUGCAGGAAGAAGAAGGCUGAGGCAGGGGAUCCUAUUUCCCCCUUAUUGUUUGUACUAGUCAUGGAGUAUAUGUCCAGAAUCUUCAACAGAAUAUGUGAGCUCCCAGAUUUCAGAUUUCACCCAAUGUGUAAGAAGUAGAAACUAACACACCUAACCUUCGCAGAUGAUCUUAUGAUCUUCUGCAAAGGGCAAGAAGGUUCAGUAAGUAGAAUCAUGGAAGCUUUGAGACAUUUCUCGACUAUUACUGGGUUAAUAGCAAAUAAUGAAAAAUCAAAAGUGUUCUUAGCUAGAGUAACCGUUGAAGUUCAACAAAAAAUUUCUGCAGACUACGGGGUUUCAAAUAGUAAAACUUCCUAUGAGAUAUCUUGGAAUGCCUCUCUCCCAUAAGAAAUGGACCAAGAUCGACUGUCAUCAAUUAAGUAACAAGAUUGUAAAGAAAUUACAAGCCACUUUCAAUAGACAUUUAUCAUAUACUAGCAGGUUGUAAAUUGUAAACUCAAUCUUAUUUGCCUUACAAAACUUUUGGAGUACAACAAUGAUCCUUUCUCAGAGUGUGGUCAAGAUAGUGUAGGCUAAAUGUAGAAAAUUCCUUUGGGGUGGGAAUGAUGAUAAAAGGAAAGCUGCUUUAGUUAAGUGGGACACAAUAUGUUGUUCAAAAAUCCAAGGUGGCCUAAACAUCAAAAGUUGCAAAAUUUGGAAGAUUGCAGUAGUGGGAAAAUUGGUCUGGUGGCUGCACCAAAACAAGGAAGCAUUAUGGGUGCACUGGGUGAGUAGCAUCUAUAUGAAAGAGGGAGAGUUCUUUUGGACCCCCCAGGAAUAUAGUUAGAACUGGAAAUAAUUGAAUAAGAUAAAGCUUGGGAUGCGAAUAUGUAAUGCCUCGAAUGGACGUCAAACAGUACUUACGACCUCAGAGGAUCACAAGCGAACCCACAACUGGUACCUACUGUGAGCACUGAAUAAUAAUACUGAAAUAAUAAGUAAAUGUACUAAUAAUAACAUCUGAAAAACUAAAUAACUGUAUGUGCUAGUUUGAAAGCCUCUAACUGAAUAUUAAGUUGAUGGGACAAAACCCCAAUUAACUUCGAUUGAAAUGACUACUGAGCUGCUGAAAUACUAAAAUAGAUAAACUUUGUCCUCGAAAUAUAAGGACUCACCACUGUAUUUAUUGCUAAUAGCCUGAGCUGCUAAGUACAGUUAGAACCCUGAGUGUCCGAACUUAUGAUAUAAGACAUCAUAACCCGAAGAAGGAUUAUGCGUCAGUACCUGAAUUGUACUGGUUGCUAAGUGAGGUAGGCUGAUAUACAUGAGUUCAUAUGCAUGAGAUAAUAACUGACUGAGUGAACAUUAUGAAGUAGCUGGAUGAGAGUACAUGCAAAACCGUAGCUACUGAGCAAGCUGAAUAUGCAUUACUGUGCAUAUAAUGUCUGUCUGAAUUAGACCGAAACUGAGAUACUAAGUUCUGAUAACUGAAAGUUUAGACUAUUUUGCGAAAAUUUUGACUUUUGAAGAGUCACCACUUAAUUUUGAAAAAGAAUUAAGAAACCUUUGUAAAUAUUUUAAACGAUCCAAAACAGAAAAAUCGUUUAAAAUUUAAAGAUUCUGAGUAAGUGGUUCCUAUUAACAUUUUAGGAAGGUUUUAGGCACCUAUAUGUCUAGUAACUUGCAGUUAUCUGGACUGUUUGAAAAUGUCUUUUGACUAACUUCAAAAAGAUUGAUUUGUUGAAAAGUGAUUGAGUUUUAGAAAAGACUUAUGUAAAAUAGAUUUAGGGAACUUAGUAGGAAUUUUAACUAAGUAUAAACAAAACUAAUAAGCAAAUAAACACAUAAAAAGGGAGAGGGAGGAGAAAGUAAAAGAUUUAGGCCAUUGGGCCUAAAUCAACGAGACCUGUCCUAGUCUAAUUGGACUUUCGACCCAUUUCACCUGUCUUGAUCUAGUUGUCGAGCCUUUGGCUCGAGUUUUGCUCCACCUGUAUUAAAUUUACAACUUCGGCUUCGAGUCCCAAAAUGAAUGAACAAGUAAAAUAAAUAAAUAACGACAACAAUAAAUAAAUAAAAUAAAAAACGAGACUCUCAAGUCUCUUGGCUGCUUCAAAGAUGGGACUUUAACCCAUCCUUCUUCUUUCGAUUCCUUGUAUUCCUUUGACAUGCAAUCGAUGUUUCCUUAGGGCCUUCGAAACAAAUUGACUCAAAAGGAUGGCCUCAAUGGCCCAAAACCAAAANNNNNNNNNNNNNNCAUGUAGGACUCGGAUGCAUCCACAUGCAAAGAAAAAAAAUAUAACAAUUAAUAUAUAUUCAAGUGUGGAUAUCUAACUUAUAAGUAAUAACCCAAAAUAUUAACAUGAAGAAAAGGACCGUAUCUGACACCAAAGAUUAGAAAAUAAUCGACUAACACAGAAUUUUUAAAGCCAAAACAUAUUUAACCCAAAAAAAUUAAGCCGGGCAGUUGAUAUCCAAAAACAAAUAUGUAUACAAAGGAAUCAACACCAAUUAAAAACACACACACUAGCAAAAUAAAACAAAAAGGCAAGAUAGACUUCAAAUCGAUAGGAAACACAGAUUUACAUAUAUAAAAAGAAUUCAAACUGGACAAUUUCGCUCCCCUUUCAAAUAAGACAGAAUAUUAUUUCUUACUUAGACAGCCUUCCUUAAGAGUUUAGGCCCAUGAGCCAAAACUCAAUCAAGAUGAGAAUAUCAUUCUGAUCGACACCCAAUGAAUGGAUUUGAAAAUCUUUCUUUUUGCAAAAAGUCGCAAAUUGACCACACAAUAGCCUAGCAUCAAACUUAGUCGACAUUCUAACAUGCACCCAUCACAUUAUAAAUAGAAUCAAAGUUCACAUUCACAGGAUAAAAUUUAACAAUGCCGAUAAGACAAAUGAAGGGAUAAGUAAGCAAUCAACGAAAGAAGAGGACAUCACACUUCCAGCAUAUUAAGAAUAUGUACAACAAUCAAACUGUGAAGGGAAAUAAAGCAAGAGAGGUGGGGCAUUUUCUAAUAUAAUUAUGCAGGUGCGAAAUAUAUAAUUAAUCUUAUUCGAUAUUUUUCACAUAGUUAACACACAAAGAAUUACAACUUACAAUCCUAGGGAAUAUACUACAAACUCCUCCUCACCCUCCCCUUGACACAAUUGAAAUGAACUUUCAAAGGUCAAAGGGAAGAUCCUUGGGGGUUCCAUAAGAUUGUCAACUUUACUACGGACAUACACCCGUUAUCUUCAUCGACUUUAAAGGUUGAGAAAAUCAAGAGGCAGCCCGCAUCGGAUGAAUAUAAUCAAGUAAGAUGCUACCAGUAACCUUAAGAACAAAAUUUAAAGAAAGACAAAUGAACCUAAUCAAGGAAGCACCAUGCUAAAUCAAUAUACCAAGACUAAAACAUGAUCUUCAGCUAAAAAAAAUGACAAGUCAGACCGCAAUGUUCGAAUGUAAACAUGACAUGGUUUUGAUGCUACAAUGGUUUGUGAAGCAGAACUAAAACACUAAUUACAAAAUUUAGACAUUAAACUCGAGAUAAAAAAUAAUAAAUCAAAGCAACUUGUCGAGCAUCGUCACACCAAAUUAAGGCUGGACAGUAUCCCAAAUCACAGGAAACGCUGAAUUAAAAUGGCAAAUAAAAGGCGGAAUUUGAACGAUAUGUAUGCCGAUUCAUGCUAUAAAUUCACACAUAACCAACAAGCUAUAAAUUUACAGAUAACCAACAACAUCAGUUAAGAGACAGUAUAUUCGGUGUAACACCAACGAAAUAGCAUAACAACAAUCACAAACACAUCCGAAGGCCAUCAUAGCCAACUACAACAGACAAAUCCCAACCUCAUUCACGAUUAUACUAAACAGUUAACUAAUUCUAUGGAGAAAAGGGAUGAAGAAGAAAACAAUGGUAUUAAAAGGGAUGAGAGUAUGUUUACCUCUUUCAGGGCAGCAAAACAAAAUCUCGAGCUAACAUUGGAUUCCACUACCACCAAAAAUCAGUCCUUCGAGAGCUCCGACCAAAUCGACAGCUUCAAAAAUUUUGUUUUACUCAAAUAAAAGCUUUACUGCUUUUUGCUCAAAAAGGAUUUUUCACCCCUUCAAGACUUGUCCCUUUUUAGCUCACAAGGGGGUUUUAUAUAGAAGGAACUAGGAAUUGAGUUUUUUUUUUUUGGAUUCCACCGAUGUGGGAACAACUAUUUCGAGGGUAGUUUUGGAAAUUCGAAUGGGGGGAAUUCAAAUUUUGAAAAGGAAAUCCAAUUGUGAGUUAGAAUUGUACGAAAUUCGUACAAAUUUGCAAUGGUUUUGUGUUGAGAUGUCCCUCUUAGGGAAGCUUUGACGAAGCUGCGUCGAGCAUGGAUCGAGUUCGAGGGUACGGUUUUUGACUCAGGUCGGGUCGACGCUGACGAAUUUGGGGCGGGUACGGUUUUUGACUCAGGUCGGGUCGACGCUGACGAAUGGUUGUUGGAAGCUGAUUGUGUGUUGUUUUUUGACGUAGUUGUGCGUAUUUUGGUUUCUCG